Molecule: long non-coding RNA, 1773 nt
Filed under: Anas platyrhynchos platyrhynchos (common mallard)
Lineage: Eukaryota; Metazoa; Chordata; Aves; Anseriformes; Anatidae
Description: lncRNA (ENSAPLG00000030258.1)
Source: RNAcentral
AUGCCCACAUCACGUCCCUCCGACGGCACGUCACCAGCUCGGGGUGCCUGUGCUGUCCCACAGCUGGCCAUGCUGCCAGCCCCCUGCUGCUGCUUCCUCAGCCUCCAGCCUGCGGAUCCCUCCCCGAUAGCCUGCUCGGUGUCACAGCUCAGGACGUGCGUUGGGGCCACCCCUCGGGGACAGGGGUGCAGCAGCUGGGCGGCAGGCAGGUGCCCGAGGAGAGCCUUAUCGCUGGGUACGGUGCCACAGGAGGGGACGUGUCCCACUCUGCUGUUUCUUCCCCCACCACCCAAAUGUGCCGUGGCGGGGCUGGAGGCAGCCCGGUGCCUGGAGCAGCCGUGUUCCCUCCCCACAUCCCAGGGUGAGCACCUGGGGCUGGAUUUCCUCAGAGCCUGCGGUGCAAGCCUGUGCCUCCUGGUGCCUAACCAGCAGCAGGAGUGCGGUGCCGGGGGCCCAGCACGCUCGGCCCGGUGGUGCUGGGGAUUUGCUGCCCUUUAUCUGGGAGGGAAGAGAUCUGACUGCAACGUGCAUGGGGUCUGCAGGGAGCCCGCUCUAAUGGCGAGCUUGCUGCGCCCUGCUGGAGCUGGCCUUGAUGCUCAUGUUCAAAGCUCGCUGGGGCGUAAGGGUGUAAUGCCACUGCCUGGGGAAGGUGCCUGUGCGCCCAGGAGUGUGUGUGCUCGGUGCUUCCAGCGCUGCUCGUGCAAACAUGACAGGGUCCCAGCAGGACAGGAGGCUUCUGACCUGCAGGCUGUAACCGCCCGAGUGGAAGUAGUGUGCAAAGGUGGAGGGUGGGGUUUCUGUUCCCUCCCCAACCCCCCGCUCUUUUUUUUUUUUCUCCCCAUGAAUUUCACAAGAAUAUUUUCACCGCUGUCAAGGGCACAAGUUCAGCUUCUGAAUGCCCCUUUGUCUUACGCAGCUCAGAGGAGUCACGCUCUCCCGCCGUGCCUUCUAGGAAAGGCAACAAAACGUUUUCCCUGCACCCUGCCGGCGGUGGCGGUGCCGCGGGCACUGUGCUGGGCCCCAUGGCAGGCGGCGAGCUGGGCGCUGGUGCGUGGCCGGUGUCCUGCAGCGCCCCGUGGUUCCCUGUCCUGGGUGGGAGAGGAGGCAGAGGCAGAGAGGGCAAGGAAGCGAGCCCAAGGAAGGGCUGGGAUGAGGCCGGGGAGCUGUGAGCUGGGCUGGGGAGGAGGAGGGAGCGGUGCCGGGGCUCGGAGGAUGCUGGCGAGGGGGUGGCCGGGGCAGGGUCUCUGUCACCCCAGCAGAACUGCAAGUGGGCAGAGGCGGUGGCAGCCAGACGUGUCACAAGGCUUGGGACACAGCCUCCUGGGGGUGACUCAAAGCUCACUUGACCUCGUUUCGUCAGGCUCGUUGGGUAAGAGCAGAACCUCCGGACAGUUUCAGCUUCGUUUUCCCAGGCAGAUAACUGACUGCCCCUCGCACCUCGCUGCCAGACCCCGCCUGCUCCUGCAGCCAGCCCCAGCUCCGCAGAGCCCCGCGGUGCCCGGGCACCAGCCCCGUGGUGCUGUGCCAGCCCAGCCCUCAGCGCCGUGCCCGCUGCUCGGAGCCUGGCAGCGUGGCCGUGCCGCCGGCCCCGUGCCUGGGGCUGUGCCAGGCUUCCUGCAGCCCUUCUGGAGGGAGGCUCUGAGGCUGCAGCCCUUUUCCCCCAGCUGCAAAUAUCGGGCUGCUGAAAAAAGGCUUGGAGAGCUCAAUCGUGCCUGGGAUGGUGUGUAUGAGAACCAGGUACAGGUACUCCUCAUUCCCAUCUUUGGCUGCUGA